This 435-nucleotide ribosomal RNA is filed under the name uncultured bacterium. RNAcentral's name for it is "partial 16S ribosomal RNA". It matches the Rfam family "Bacterial small subunit ribosomal RNA", at positions 29 to 507 of the family's 1533-position model. The record is from RNAcentral.
AACGAACGCUGGCGGCAUGCCUAACACAUGCAAGUCGAACGAUUGCCUUCGGGUGAUAGUGGCGCACGGGUGCGUAACGCGUGGGAAUCUGCCCUUAGGUUCGGAAUAACAGCUGGAAACGUCUGCUAAUACCUGAUGAUAUCGCGAGAUCAAAGAUUUAUCGCCUGAGGAUUAGCCCGCGUUGGAUUAGGUAGUUGGUGGGGUAAAGUCCUACCAAGCCGACGAUCCAUAGCUGGUCUGAGAGGAUGAUCAGCCACACUGGGACUGAGACACGGCCCAGACUACUACGGGAGGCAGCAGUGGGGAAUAUUGGAAAAUGGGCGCAAGCCUGAUCCAGCAAUGACGCGUGAGUGAUGAAGGCCCUAGGGUUGUAAAGCUCUUUUACCCGGGAAGAUAAUGACUGUACCGGGAGAAUAAGCCCCGGCUAACUCCGUG